GUGGGGAAUAUUGGACAAUGGGCGAAAGCCUGAUACAGCCAUGCCGCGUGUGUGAAGAAGGUCUUCGGAUUGUAAAGCACUUUAAGUUGGGAGGAAGGGCAGUAAGUUAAUACCUUGCUGUUUUGACGUUACCGACAGAAUAAGCACCGGCUAACUUCGUGCCAGCAGCCGCGGUAAUACGAAGGGUGCAAGCGUUAAUCGGAAUUACUGGGCGUAAAGCGCGCGUAGGUGGUUUUGUAAGUUGGAGGUGAAAUCCCCGGGCUCAACCUGGGAACUGCCUCCAAAACUGCAUGACUAGAGUACGGUAGAGGGUAGUGGAAUUUCCUGUGUAGCGGUGAAAUGCGUAGAUAUAGGAAGGAACACCAGUGGCGAAGGCGACUACCUGGACUGAUACUGACACUGAGGUGCGAAAGCGUGGGGAGCAAACAGGAUUAGAAACCCGUGUAGUCC
RNAcentral lists this ribosomal RNA (450 nucleotides) under uncultured bacterium. Its description in RNAcentral is "partial 16S ribosomal RNA". It matches the Rfam family "Bacterial small subunit ribosomal RNA", at positions 354 to 796 of the family's 1533-position model. The record is from RNAcentral.